GCCGAGCUUAGUUGCGAGAGCUUGUAACCCGAGUGGGGGCAUUAAGGCGAUGUGGACGCUGUUGUAGCGCUGCGGGCCUGGUCUGGGAGUGCUACCGUUGGCCCGCCCGUUCCAAGUUGCGUAGUGGACUGGUUGGGGCCUAUGCGAAAGCUAGGCCUCACGGUCCUUAAUGUGGCAGGCACAGCGUGAGGCUGGCUUCACAGAGCAGCGACAACUGCCCACUUCCAACGGUGAAAGGAUAACGGGCCGUUGCAUUCCUUGGCCACUUGGGCCUCGCAUCCUACUCCAGCGAACCAUCACUUUU
Triticum aestivum (bread wheat) is the source of this 304-nucleotide non-coding RNA. The record is from Rfam. Lineage: Eukaryota; Viridiplantae; Streptophyta; Magnoliopsida; Poales; Poaceae.